GUCACAUGAUGAAAUCCUAACCCCCAAUGUGAUGAUAUUUGGACGUGAGGCCUUUGAGGUGUGAUUAGGUCAAGAGGGUAGAGUCCUCAUGAAUGGGACUAGUGCAUUUAUAGAGGAGACCCCAGACAGCUCCCUUACCCCUUCUGCCGUGUGAAGAUAUGGUGGGAAGAUGGGCAGCUGUGAACCAGGAAGUGGGUUCUCACAAGACACAGGAUCUGCUUGCACUUUGAUCUUGGACUUCCCAGCCUCUAGAACUAAGGCAUACAAAUGGCCAACAACUACAUGAAAAGGCGCUCAAUAUCACUAAUCAUCUGGGAAACGGAAGUGAAAACCACAAUGAGAUAUCACCUUGCACCUGUUAGAAUGCCUGUCAUCACAAAGAUAAGAGCUAGGAAGUGUUGUUGAGAAUCUGGAGAAAAGGGAGUCCUUGCACACGGUUGGUGGCUAUGUGAAUUGGUACAGCUAUUAUGGAAAACAGCAUGGAGGUUCCUUAAAAACUAAAAAUAGAACUACCAUACAAUGCAGCAAUCUCUUUUCUUGGUAUAAACUCAAAGGAAAUAAAAUCAGCACCUUGGAGAGGUAUCUGUGUUCUCAUGUUCAUUACAGCAUUAUUUGCAGUAGCCAAGAGAGGGAAACAACCUAAGCAUAUGUUGAUGGAUGAAUGGAUGAAAAAUUGUGAAAGAAAGACUUCAGAGUUAAAGAUUAGCCACCAGAAAUCAUACUUAAAAGAAUGUCCCUCAGGUUCUGAAGCAUUCCCCAAAUGAAAUGAGGAGCAGCAAAUCAUCAAAACUGCUAUUUAACUUUCCAAGAGAUGGCUGUGAAGACAAUCACCCAUUUGAACAAGUGAUUCCAAAUCUUCUUGGGAAAAACAGUUGGUUAUUUUCUUUAGAAUUCUGUCACUUCGAGAGUCUGAAUGGAGUUCUUAAAAAAAAAAAAAAAACCAAAUGUGGUGGCUUUCAGUCAGAGACAUUGGGCUCCAUCCCUUAGCAGCUAUGUGACCUUGGGCUUGUCACUUAACUUUGUUGAGUCUCAAAUCCACCAUCUUUGAGCACGGAUGAUGAUCAGUUCCAAAUUUAUAUCUCUGGCCCUGACAUCUCAUCAUAUUUCAGACUUGUAUUUCCUGCUGCCUAUGGAACAUCAAUUUAUAAACCAGAUAUCUGGGA
This is a long non-coding RNA of Suricata suricatta (meerkat), 1163 nucleotides long. RefSeq lists it as uncharacterized. The record is from RefSeq and is a predicted model, not a curated record. NCBI's taxonomy places the organism in Eukaryota, Metazoa, Chordata, Mammalia, Carnivora, Herpestidae. The transcript is spliced from 4 exons.